UCGGAUCCACGCAGGAUCAAUUUCUUCAGUGAUGCUCAAUCACUUUGGGUUUGUGGGGGUUUGGUUUUGGGAUUUUCCUCACUUGAUGAUUUUCGCUCAAAGUCCUCGGAGGAUGGGUUGCUCUCAAAUGACAAGUGUCAAGUUCUCUCGGAGCAGCCAACCAACUAGUGGUUGUAGGGGGCGGCUAUUUAUAGCCUAGGGAGCAGCCCGACAUGAUAAGACAUAAAUGCCCUUCAAUGAUAUGACCGUUAGGUGGAUAAGAUAUUUUGGGACAGCCGGCGCGCAGCACAGCAACGGUCGGAAAUUUGACUCUCAAAUUCCUCAGGGCUAUCAUGUUCCUCACUGUGUAGGCAAUUCGCACUGGCGAAUUCCUAACUCCUCAGUCAGAGCAAAGUCCUCAGUGAACAGAAGAACUGCGUCUCUGUCACUGAUGAAUUUGACUGAACUGUAUGAGAUUUCCAAUGGCUUCACUCGAAGGGAUUGGUAGGUGUAGGGUUUUGAGUUGAGCAUCACAUGGAAAUUUUUCCUUAGUAUUUCCUCGACCCCCUUUAACAGUACGGUGUUUCCUAUGACUCAAGAAAGAGAAAAUGAAACUACGAAAACAAAAGUCUUCACGCUUCAUAUUCCUCGAAUGAUUAUCAAGUCUUUAAGGUCACACCAAUUUCUUCACUUUCAAAGUCUUCAAAAAGUCUUCAGAAUGUCAAAGUCUUCAGUCGAAGAACUUCAUUUUUAGGGGUCGACUUUCUCUGUAAAUAUCAAACUCCUCAUAGACUUAUAGACCUGUGUACACUCACAAACACAUCAGUUACUUAACCUAUAAGUCUUCAAUACACCAAAAUCACUAAGGGGCACUAGAUGCACUUACAAUCUCCCCCUUUUUGGUGAUUGAUGACAACAUAGGUUAAGUUUUCAACGGGGAUAAACAUAUGGAGUGUAAAUACUGAUAUUGAGGAAUUUGAUUGCAAGAUAUAGAAGAACUCCCCCUGAAUAUGUGCAUAAUGAGGAAUUUGCUUUUGAGGCAAUGCACAUUUGAAGAGUUGAAUCAUGGAGAUCUCCCCCUAUAUCUUGUAAUUCAUACACGCAUUUGAUAUAUAAUAUGAAGAAUUUGAAAUGCAUGAUGAAAUAUGGUGCCUGAUGAGAUUCAGCAUGCGUGCAAUACUAUUGACUAGGAAUAAGCAUGCAGAAUAUCACAUCAAAAGUUUCAGAGCUCAAAUAUCACAUUCAGAGCUUAGUGCUUCAAAAGCAUCAGAGCAUCAACUGUAUCAAAGCACGACCAAAAGUAUCAAGGCACCAUCGGUUUUAAGAUUACAACUCGAUCCAAUAAAAGUUUCGGAAGAACGAGAGUUGUAACUUAAUAAAAACGCCCAUAAUAUAAACCCGCUUGAAGACUAACUCAGAUUUCUCCCCCUUUGUCAUCAAAUGACCAAAAGGAUCGAAACUGAGGACCAACGCCCCUGAAAUUUUUCAAGUUGAUGGAGGAGCGCCAGCAUUGUCGGGGUUAGUUGUUGACGUAGGGCCUGCCGCAGUGUCGUCCAAAUCUUCAUGUUCAUCAGUUUCGUGCAACGAAGAAUAAGAGCUGGCCACCAGAUCGGGAACUUUGACUCUCUUGAAUUUCUUCGGAGGUGGUGCAGACCAGUCAAAAGCAUCCUGGAGACCCAUAGUCUUCAAUUCUUCGGCAGAAUAUACAUGAUUAAGAAUAGCCCGGGUGCGGUUGAGGGUUUCAUGAAGGUAGUACGGAUUUUUCUUCACUGCAUUAUGCGUUGAGGUCAUGUUGUGAAGAAUUGCAGCAAAUUGACGCAUCACCCAUUUCUGAUUGCGUUCAACCUUCUGAUGAAGACUGAGGAGUAACUCACGAUCAGUCAUCACCCUGGGUGCUGUUGCUUGAGGCUUUUGCUUGACUGAGGUAUUCGCGGCAGUGUCAUGUGUUGCAGAAUCGUCAUUGGUGGAGUAAGAUGUAGCUAGACGGAAUUGACCAUCCAAUGGACGAAUGCCUUCAUCAAUCACAGCUGCUGCCUUGCCCUUAUCAUCAGAUGAUGAAACUGGUCGCUUGAGGACUUCAAUGGGCGGCAAGUAGCUGCCAUGGUUCAGAGUGUCAGCCUUGUAGUUUAGUGAAGAUCUUGCCCUUAUGAAUCUCAUAAUCCAAGGCGCAUAUGGCUUCAGCUCAAAAGGUGACAUUGCAACAUUGGCCAGAGUCCUCAUGAAGAAAUCAUGGAAAUUGACAGGAACGCCAUGAAUGAUAUUGAAAAGCAUGUUCUUCAUGAUGCCAACGACAUCUUCUUCGUUUGAGUCGUGGCCUUUGAUGGGACUCAUUGUCUUCGUCAAGAUUCUAUAGACAGUCCGAGGCACAUACAGUAAUUCCUUGACGAGAAAUUUGGUUCGAGGGGCCUGUCCUGGCUUCAAAGGCUUCAUGAGCACUUGCAUAAAGUGAUCAGACAGUUCGCGAUCAUUGUAGAUGCAACGUGUAGAUUCAUGGGGAGGAUCAAGAGGAAGGACACGAAGCAAUUCAGUUGCUGGUGCCUUGUAAUGAGUAUUUUCCGUCAUCCAAUCCAGCACCCAUGAAUUGAUAUCUUCAGCAUCUCCGGUGAUGUGCAGGGUGGCAUAGAACUGAAGAAUGAGUUCUUCAUUCCAGUCAGAGAUAUCAGUGCAAAAAUUCAGCAGCCCUGCAUCAUGAAUGACCCUGAGGACUGGCUCGAAGCAUGGCAGUGAUUCCAUAUCCACAUGAGGAAUAUGCUCAUGGUCGAAGAUCUUGUCCUUGUCAAACAGCACUGAGAAAUAGAAGUUGGCUUGAGUUGGAGUCCAGAAGCGUCUUUUCCUCAUGCGAGCAGAGUCAUAUGGAUUAUAAGCAGUGAAGAACACAUGCUCAGAAAAGAAGUCUUCAGCCUUGAAUUUUUGCUUGCUCGAGAAUGGAUUCUUCGGUUUGGGCAGAGGAAUCUCUGUGAUUUGCAGCACAACCUCAGGAAUCGCAAUCUCAGGUUCUUCAGGCUGAGGAAUUUCUGGUUCCUCUUCUUGUGCAGUUUGGGGAUCAGCAGUGGGUUCUUCAGUGCUAGUGGCUGGAAUUCCCUCAUGAACAGACGAUGUGGGAUGAGUUUCUUGAGAGCCCAAUUGUACAGUUGUAGCCGGGGACUGAGAAACUUGUUGAAUCGGAGUGAAGAGAGGAGUAUUGGGAUGCUGACUUUCCCAAAAGUCAUCGUUCAUCACUGGUGUAGUGCACCCAAUAUCCACGUCUUCAUCUUCAUUUUCAAUUUCCUCAACACCAGCCUCUUCAGCUGUGAACUGAGGCAUGGGUGAGGAAACGACUGGCAGUGAAGGGAAUGCUUCCACUUCAAUUUCUUCAUCAAGCUGUUCUGAGGCAGCAACAGAUUGAUUUUCUUCAUCAGAUCCGCUUGGGAUCGUGUAAUCUUCUCCGUAAGGAACAAUUUCCUUAGACGACAUGGAGGAAAUGGGAAUGGCAUCAAUAGGAUUUUCAAUCGAGCUGGUCAUUGGCUUCAUUUUCUUCGCAGCCAAAGAAUUUGACGCAGCUGAUGCCUUCCUUUUCUUCACUGCAGCUCGUUCUGCAGCCUUUGUCUUCUUCACUUCAUAGGCAAAAGGAAGAAUUGGAGUUGGUGUUGGCGCAGGAGGAGCUGAGGACUGUGGUUCAGUUUCUUCAGGCGCAACUGGUGCAGUUGCCCUGAUCUCUUCAGUUUCUUCAGGCGCACCACUAGUGGAUGCCCUGGGAAUUUCUUCAGCGGCUGGAAUGGAGUCAUCAGCCCUGGAACUUGUAUUUUCAUCAGCAUGCUGAAAGUCAUCAGCAGUGCUGGCAUGUUCUUCAGCAGGCUGAGCAGAGUCUUUAGCCUGAGGAUUUUCUUGUUGCGAUGGAGCUGCAACAGUUGUCAUUUUCUUCGUCAAAUUGACGAAUCUCACCUUGGCUCCUUGCCAAUCAGCAUUGUACGCAUCGAAAUCCUUGCUGAGUGCUUGGAUUUCAGAUUGAGCUUUUAGAAGUUCUUCAGGAGUCAAGUUGACGAUGUUCUUCCUCAGAAGCUUCUCCUUUCUGGCUUGUGUUCUCUUGAUCUCACGAGCCUUUUCAAAUUUCCAUUUCUCUUCAGCAAUGAAAUGGUUCAGCAUAUGACUUUGACCAGGAGUCAGUGGCAGAUCCGGUAUGGGAGUGUUUGGAUCCUGAUGCCAUAGGUCGAUGAAGUCAAGGAUCUUCUUCGGAUCCAGAAGCAGAGGCACAUUUGUUCCUUUGGCUCUAGCGGCCUUGGUCAGUCUGUCUCUGAUGUUUUCUGCAAGUUCUUCAUCAGAAGCUUCAUCAUCAGAGGGCACGUUGAAUGCAACCUGUUUCUUCUUUGGACUUGGCCGAGGACCGCGUCCAGCUGUUGCUUUUGUCUUCAGCAGGGUGGGGCCUGAUGAGGACAUUGGUGCAGCUGAGGAACUUGCUGAGACACCAGAAGCAAUUGAGAAACCUUGAGUCCUUUGACAUGUUGCAAGAUGCACAGGUGUUGAGGACUUGGAGGGAGCUGCUAAGGAUUUGGAGUGAGCAGCAGCAGUCUGAGGAAUUUGCCGUGAGGGCGCGGCUGAGGAACUGGGCCGUGAGGGCGCUGAUGGUGAAGCACUUGGCUUGCGAGCAGGCUUCUUCGGCAUUGAUUUCCUCGGCUUGACCGAGGGCUCAGCGGCAGCAGCAGCAGCAGAAUCCUCAUUGAAUUUCCUCACUGACUCCUUGGCCUGUCUUGCCAGUUUGGCUUGGCGCCUAGACCAUUCUUCAGGAAAGUCUUCACCACGCUUGAUGCUGGUGGGAUCAGCAACUUGGCCAGGUGCCAAAGGAGCUCUUGGGCAUGGAGGAUUUAAGGCGAAUUUCCUCAUGUACUUGGGAGUAACAUAGCGAUAUUCCCUCCAUUCUCGUGCCCAUCUUCUUUCUAUCCUCUGUAUGCGCACUUUGCGCUGAUUUUUAGUCUCCUUGCCAAACUUGGCUUCAUCAGGUGUGCAGUAAUCUUUGUAUAUUUCAUCAGGGAUCUCAAAGGCAGUCAUGACCUCCGGUUUCUUUCCUCCCUUCUGCGGUCUCUUGCCAUCUGCCAUUUUCUUCAGAUGAGGAAUUUGAACUAUAGAGCACUCUGAAGAAGUAUGCAGUUUUUCUUCGAGGAACGCUGCAAAUGAGUUAAGUUGAUGAGAACCUAGUGAUUCAGUAGCAGACAUGAGUACCUGUGAACAGAGUGUAGGUGCGAGGAAUUUGGAGAGGUCAUAUGCGUUCUCAGAAGAUUUUUAAAAGGAACAAGUUUGAGGAAUUUGACCAGUUGAGCCUUGAGGAAUUUCACUAAGCGUUUCGUCUUAGGUUCCAGAGUUGUACAGAUUGAAAAUCCGCACAAUUGAGGAAUCUUGAAGAAAUGAAUGCUUAGAGAGAUAAAUCAAGAGCAUAUAGUGUGUGAGGUGUUCAUAUGUGAAGAUUUGAAGACCAAAAACACCUUUGAAGAUUUUCAGAAAGAUUUGAGAAUCAAAGUGAGUAAUAAAAGUGAUUUUUAAUUACCCGAACUGAAGAACACGACGAACAGGAAUGAACUGUAGUGAAAUUCGUCACGUUAGAUCUCCCACGCCCUAACUUGGCAGAAGGAGACGGCUACGGCGGCGGCGGAGUGAAGAUUUCCGCGGCCGGCGCGAGUACGACGGCGACGAGGUCGAGGCAGUGAAGCUCUUCCUCACCGACGGCGAUGAAGUAGCGGUGGCGCUAGGGUUUGAGGAGAGCUCGAGCGAGAGACAGCGACCGAGCGGAGUAAAUGAAGUAAGGAAGGGAGAGGGGUAUUUAUAGCCACUGUAAAAACUGUUCGCCCGAAGAUUUUGGGACGAACAUGCCCCUGCCCUUUCUCCUUCACGCGACAUGUGUCACCCACGUACUGUGCAGAUGAGAUCGUGUAAGAUCGUGGGUGAUUAAACUAAAGUAUCGUGGGGAGCGGAACGGUUUGAGCGGUAAAACCGAAAAUCUGGAUAAGAUUUGUUUAAAAAUUUCGUUCGCAAUUUCUUCAGCUGUCAAGGACAGAGUGAAGACUUUGAACGAGUUUCAAUCAGAACGCACAUGAAGAAUUUGUGAAUAGAUUGGGUUGAGUAUAGCAUAGAGGGGGAAGGGUCCGAUCACAUUCACUUAGCAGAAAUCACAACUUGAAGAAUUAGCAAUAAGUGAAUGUUGUAGAGGACAUAAACUCACAUAUGUAUACAGCCAAUGAAGAAAACAACGGAGUCAUUGAAGAUUUUGCAAAGUUGAAGAAUUUGAAAAACUGAGGAAUUUCAAAAAUGAGGAAAAACUCAAAUUGAAGAUUUUCAACUUUUGUGGUGGCGUAGCCCACCGUAUAAGAAUGAUGAUUUCAGACACCGCGUACAAUUGUCGUAGGGUUCUGAGAAUCAAAUUCUUCAUUAAUUUCUUCACACUUAGAGUGUUAUUCUUCAUUGAUUGAAGAAAAACAUUUCUUCAUGUGUUGCACAUCUAAGUCAUCAAUUUUGCAUAAGGGUUAGGAUGUGUGUCCUUUUCAAAGAACAUUCAAAGAUUCUAAGAUAUUUAGCUCACACCGCAACUUGCUAAAUCUCUUCUAAUCCAAGGGCUUAGUGAAGAUAUCAGCUAGCUGUUCUUCAGUCUUCACAUGCUCGAUGGAGAUAUCGCCCUUCAACACAUGAUCACGAAGAAAAUGAUGACGAAUCUGGAUGUUCUUAGUCUUCAAGUGCUGAACUGGGUUGUGAGCAAUCUUGAUGGCACUCUCAUUGUCGCAGAGGAGAGGCACAUUCUUCACGUUGACGCCAUAGUCCUUGAGGGUUUGCUUCAUCCAAAGCAGUUGAGCACAGCAUGAGCCAGCAGCAAUGUAUUCAGCUUCAGCAGUAGACAGUGAUACGCAGUUCUGUUUCUUCGAGGAAUAACAGACCAAAGAUCGUCCGAGGAAAUGACAAGUGCUAGAUGUUGACUUGCGGUCCACACGAUCACCAGCAUAGUCAGAGUCAGAAUAUCCAAUGAGAUCAAAAGCAGAGCCCUUGGGGUACCAUAAUCCUAGUGUUGGUGUGUGAGCUAGAUAUCGAAGAAUAUGCUUCACAGCCUUAUGGUGUGAUUCCUUCGGUGCAGCUUGAAAUCGGGCACACAUGCAAACACUAAGCAUUAUAUCUGGCCUAGAUGCACAUAAGUACAAUAAGGAACCAAUCAUGGAGCGGUAUACCUUGUGAUCGAAAUCAAUACCAUUUUCAUCAGUGCAUAGAUGGCCAUUUGUGGGCAUAGGAAUUUUGACGCCUUUGCAAUCUUGCAUGCCGAAUUUCCCCAGUACAUCUUUGAGGUAUUUCUCCUGAGAUAUGAAUAUGCCAUUGUGCUGCUGACGAAUUUGAAGACCUAAGAAGAAUUUCAACUCUCCCAUCAUAGACAUUUGAUAUUCUUCACUCAUCAUAUAGGCAAAUUCAUCACUGUAUCGUUGGUUAGUACAGCCAAAGAUAAUAUCAUCAACAUAUAUUUGGCACACAAACAGUUCACCAUCAUAUGAUUUAGUAAAAAGAGUAGGGUCAAGUGAACCGGGUGUGAAGCCAUUCUUCACGAAGAAUUCCUUCAAUGUGUCAUACCACGCCCGAGGGGCUUGCUUGAGGCCAUAGAGAGCCUUAUUGAGUCUGAAGACUUUGUCAGGAUUCUUGGGAUCUUCAAAACCUGGGGGUUGAGCAACAUAUACUUCUUCCUCAAGCUUACCAUUGAGGAAUGCACUUUUCACAUCCAUUUGAUAUAAGAUGAUAUCAUGAUGGUUAGCAUAAGCAAGUAAAAUGCGAAUAGCCUCAAGUCUAGCAACAGGUGCAAAAGUUUCAUCAAAAUCAAUUCCUUCAACCUGUGUGUAGCCUUGAGCUACUAGUCGUGCCUUAUUCCUCACCACAAGGCCAUUUUCAUCUUGCUUGUUGCGGUAGAUCCACUUUGUGCCAAUGAUAUUAUGCUUGCGAGGAUCUGGGCGAUUGACCAAUUCCCAGACAUUGUUCAACUCGAACUGAUGUAAUUCUUCUUGCAUAGCCUGAAUCCACUCUGGCUCCAGAAAUGCUUCAUCUACCUUAGUGCGCUCUAAGAUAGAAACAAAAGCAUAGUGCCCACAAAAGUUAGAUAAGUGUGAGGCUUUUGAGCGUGUGAGAGGACCUGGUGCGCUAAUGUCAUCGAUGAUCUUCUCCACUUGCCCUUCUUUUGCAACGCGUGGAUGAGUGGGCUGUCGCUGAGGAUUUUGAUCAGCAUUUUCUUCAGCACCAUUUUCCUCAUCAUGUUCUUCAGGUGCAUCAGCUCGAUGUUCUUCACGAACAGGAAUGAAUUCUUCAGCAGAUUCUUCAGUAGGUAUAACAUCCUCAGUUGCCUUGAGCUUGAUAGCCUCCUCAGGUGCUGGUUCAUCUAACACAGAAGGUAGGUGCUCUCUUUGCGAGCCAUUAGUUUCAUCGAACCGCACAUCUACAGUGUUAACAAUCUUGUGAAGAACAAUGUUGAAGACUCUGUAGGUGUGCGAGUCCUUUCCGUAACCAAGCAUAAAACCUUCAUGUGCUUUCGGUGCAAAUUUAGAGUUGUGGUGAGGAUCUCUAAUCCAACAUUUAGCACUGAAGACUUUGAAAUAACUCACAUUGGGUUUCUUGUCAGUGAGGAGUUCAUAGGCAGUCUUCUUGAAGAAUUUGUGAAGAUAUACUCUGUUGAUGACGUGGCAGGCAGUAUCAAUUGCAUCAAUCUAGAAACGCUGAGGCGUUUUGUAUUCAUCAAGCAUAGUGCGAGCCAUCUCAACAAGACUUCUGUUCUUGCGCUCCACGACACCAUUCUGCUGAGGAGUAUAGGGAGCAGAUAAUUCAUGAGUAAUACCAAGUUCAUCAAGAUAGGCAUCAAGACCAGAAUUCUUGAACUCAGUUCCAUUGUCACUUCUGAUAUGCUUGAUCUUCACACCAAAGUUGGUCGAAGCCCUCGAGGAAAAUCUUUUGAAGACUUCCUGCACUUCAUGUUUGUAAGUAACAAUGUGUACCCAUGUAUAUCGAGAAUAAUCAUCAACAAUGACAAAACCAUAUAAAGAUGCAUCAUUAGUGACUGCUGAAUAAUGGUUAGGUCCGAAGAGGUCCAUGUGAAGCAAUUCGAAUGGACGGGUAGUGGUCAUGAUGGUCUUCGCUGGGUGCUUGGCCUUGGUCAUUUUUCCGGCUUCACAUGCUCCGCAUAAGUGAUCCUUGAGGAAUUUGACAUUCUCAAUGCCAAUGACAUGCUUCUUCUUUGCAAGCGUGUUCAAAUUCCUCAUGCCUGCAUGACCAAGUCAUCGAUGCCAUAGCCAGCCUUCUGAAGCUUUUGCUAGUAAACACACGGCUGGUUGUGGUCCUGUAGAGAAAUCAACAAUAUACAGAUCUCCUCUCCUAAAGCCUUCGAAGACUUUGGAAUUGUCAGCUUCCAUAAUCACAACACAGCGAUAUUUGCCAAAGACAACAACCAUAUCAAGAUCACAAAGCAUUGAGACUGACAUGAGAUUGUAUCCUAAGGACUCAACAAGCAUGACUUUGUCCAUGUGCUUAUCCUUAGAGAUAGCAACCUUACCAAGACCCAAUACCUGACUUUUGCCUUUGUCAGCAAAGAUGAUAUGCUUCAGAGGUGAAGGUGAUAAGGGAGCAUCCAUCAAUAGAUUAUUGUCACCAGUCAUGUGAUUUGUACAUCCACUAUCGAGGACCCAUUCAGUGGUUUUGGGUUGAUCAUCCUGCAGAUGAAUUAGUGUAGCUUACAAUCUCAUAUGCUUCAUCAGUGAAGAAUAUGACAUCAAGUUCAUCAGAUGAAUUUCAUCAAGCAGUAAACAGUUAUAGCAGUAUGAGGACGUGUGAAAUGAAGGUUCAUUUCAUCAUGAUUCGCCUGCGUCCUUUCAGGCAAUUUUGUCAGGUCCCCAGCAAAUUCUUCAGACGUUAGAGCACGUCUGGAGACCUGACCCUGCAGAAGAGAUUAGUUCUUUUUCUUCACCACCCACAUCUGAAGGGGUGGCAAAGAGUUCAUCAUCCUGCGAGCACCAUGUGAGAAAGGUGGCAAAGAUGCCAAACCAUUUCGCUUAGCAUGAGAGGGGUUAGGGUAUGCAUAUGAAUAAGCAGAGUAAUUCUUCGAGGACUUAUGAACAUAAUGGUUUGAAGAAUAAUGCACAUAUUCAUAGCCCUUAGCUCUACCCUGCGAGACAGAGUUGUUAGCACGAUGAUAAUCAUAUGAGGACUUUGAUCCAUAUGAAGAGUUUGGUCCAUAUGAAGAAUUUGGUCUGGGGUUCCUGUUCUUCACAGGUGGUGUCAUGAGGACAUUCACCUGAAGACUUUCAACACAGCUUUUGGGAACCCAGAUUUUCUUCAUAGGGGAACUGUUCCUGCAGUUAGUGCCAACAUAUCUAGCAAAUACUUCACCAUUCUGAUUUUUGAACAGUUUAUAGUUGGAGUCAAAUGACUCAUCAGAAGAAUGAGGAGAUUCACAUGUAAAACCAGAUAAGUUAGAUGGAUCAACUGGAGGUCCCUUUGCAGCAACCCAUGAGGUUUUGGGAUACUGCUCAGGCUUCCAAUAUGUUCCAUCGGCAUUGAGUUUCCUCUCAAAGGCAAUACCCUCUUUCCUAGGGUUUUUGUUGAGGAUCUGCUUUUUGAGCACAUCACAAAGUGUCUGAUGCCCUUUGAGGCUUUUGUACAUGCCUGUCAUGUACAAUUCCUUCAGCCCUGCAUUGUCAAUGAUACUAGCAAUGUCCUCAGAUGAGGAAUUAGGGAUAGCAGAGGCAGAUGAAGAAUUUGUAACAGUUGAAGCAUUUGAACAUUCAGGUGAAGAAUUAGCAGAUUCACGUUCAAUGCACUUUAAGCAUGGAGGAACAAAUUCUUCCUGAGAAGUGCUGAUUUGUUGAGCUAGUAAUGAAUCGCGCUCCUUCUGAAGAUCUUCAUAACACACUCUUAGCUUUUCAAGAUCUUCCUUUCUUUGAAUAGCUUCAAGAGAAAGCUUCUCGUGAUCAUGCUUUUCUUGAAGAAAUUCGUAAGAAAGUUUCUCAUGAUCUGACAAGAGAGAGUUAUGAUGACCUUGAAGGUUAUCAUACUUAGACUGAAGUCUCUGAAGAUUUUCAGUCAGGGCUUUAGCGCGAUCCAUUUCUUCACCCAACAUAUCAUCACUUUUAUCUAGCAUGUUUUGAACCUUUUCAAGAGCCCGUUGUUGUUUCACAGCAAUUUUAGCAAGUUUAGAGUAGCUGGGCUUAAGAUCCUCAUCAGAUUCAUUUUCACUAGAAUCAGAGGAGUUGUAUUUGAGUACCUUAGCUCCUUUUGCCAUGAAGCAAUAGGUGGGAGCGUAGCCAUCAUUAACUUCAUCAGUCUUGUCGGUGGAGUCAGUUUCUUCAGUGUUGAAGAUGGACUUGCUGACGAAGGCAGUAGCAACGGCUAGACUCGCCACACCAGACUCAGAUUCUUCAGACUCCUCUUCUUCAUCAUUUUCCUCAGAUUCAGCUUCAGAGUCCAUUUCCUUGCCAAUGAAUGCCCGAGCUUUCUUGGAGCUGCCCUUCUUGUGAGAUGAAGACUUUGAGGGUUUUGAUGAUGAAGAUUUUGACGAUUUCUUCUUCUUCUUCAUAUCAUCAGAACUGUAAUCCUUGUAUUUCUUCUUCUUCAUUUCCUUUUCCCACUGAGGACAAUCUUGAAUAUAGUGACCAGGCUUCUUGCAUUUGUGGCAAAGUCUUCUCUUGUAGUCACUGGAUGAAGAAUCAUUUCCUCUUGAGGGUUUUCCAAAGCGACCACGUCUUGUGAACUUCUGGAAUUUCUUCACAAGCAGAGCUAGAUCCUGGCUCAGUUCUUCAGGAUCACCAAGGCUACUACCAGAAUCCUCACAUUCAGAUUCAGACACAACCUUAGCCUUCAGGGCACAUGGUUUGCCAUAGUUUGAGCCAUAGAGAUCUCUCUUUUCAGCAAGCUGGAACUCGUGAGUGUUAAGCCUUUCGAGGAUAUCAGCAGGAUCAAGUGACUUGUAGUCAGCACGUUCUUGUAUCAUCAGUCCCAGAGUAUCAAAUGAGGAAUCAAGCGAUCUCAGCAGUUUCUUCACAACUUCAUGAUCAGUGAUGUCAGUGGCACCGAGGGCUUGAAGCUCGUUUGAGAUGUUAGUGAGGCGAUCAAAGGUUUGUUGGACAUUUUCGUUGUCGAGUCUUUUGAAGCGGUUGAAGAGAUUCCGAAGAACAUCGACUCGAGAGUCAUGCUGAGUUGAGACUCCUUCAUUUACUUUGGACAGCAUAUCCCAGAUAAGCUUAGCAGUUUCCAAAGCACUCACUCUUCCAUACUUUCCUUUGCUCAGAUGGCCACAGAUGAUAUUCUUCGCUUGGGAAUCGAGUUGUUUGAAUCUCUUCACAUCGGUAGCGGUCAGUGUUUUAGUGACAGAGGGGACACCACUUUCCACAACAUACCAGAGAUCAUUGUCAAUUGCCUCAAGAUGCAUUCGCAUCAUGUUCUUCCAGUAGGGGUAGUCCGUUCCAUCAAAGGUAGGACACCCAGCCGAGACCUUGAUCAUACCUGCGGUCGACAUAACUAAAACUCCAGGCGGUUAAACCAAAAUCACACAGAACAAGGGAGUACCUUGCUCUGAUACCAAUUGAAAGUGCGUUAUAUCGACUAGAGGGGGGGUGAAUAGGCGAUUUUUAUGAAUUCUUCACUGAGGAAUUUGCUGGUGAGGAAAUUCCUUAGCGAAGAACUACUUGCAGCGGAAUAUGUACUCAGAAGUAAACAUAACAGGAUACACACAUAGUCAGCAUGAUGAAAUGAAGACUAAGAACAGAGUACGGAAAGCGUAAACACAGGAUAACAAGAUGAAGACAAACAGACUGAAGAAAUUGAACUGAGGAAUUUGUGAAAGUCUUCAGUCAAAGUCUUCAAGAACAGAUAUGAACAACAUGCAACACAGAAUAAGGAAAUAGAAGAGUUGAGGAAAUAGAACCAGUCAGUUGGUGAAGACAAUGAUUUGGUAAACCAGUUCCAACUGCUGUCUCAGUUGUACGUCUGGUUGGAGCGUCUGAGUAUUUAAACUCGAGGACACACAGUCCCGGACACCCAGUCUCUGAGCCGCAACUCAGGACACCCAGUCCUCACCGUAUUCUCCUUGAACUAAGACCACGCAGGCCUCGUUCAAUCACUCAUGGUAAGUCUUCAGGUGACUUCCAAACCUUCACAGACUUGGUCACUCGGCGAUCCACAAUUCCAUGCUCUAGACCUUGACGCCUAACCGUCUGGAAGAAGCACAGUCUUCAAAGGUAACAAGCGUCGGAUCCACGCAGGAUCAAUUUCUUCAGUGAUGCUCAAUCACUUUGGGUUUGUGGGGGUUUGGUUUUGGGAUUUUCCUCACUUGAUGAUUUUCGCUCAAAGUCCUCGGAGGAUGGGUUGCUCUCAAAUGACAAGUGUCAAGUUCUCUCGGAGCAGCCAACCAACUAGUGGUUGUAGGGGGCGGCUAUAUAUAGCCUAGGGAGCAGCCCGACAUGAUAAGACAUAAAUGCCCUUCAAUGAUAUGACCGUUAGGUGGAUAAGAUAUUUUGGGAUAGCCGGCGCGCAGCACAGCAACGGUCGGAAAUUUGACUCUCAAAUUCCUCAGGGCUAUCAUGUUCCUCACUGUGUAGGCAAUUCGCACUGGCGAAUUCCUAACUCCUCAGUCAGAGCAAAGUCCUCAGUGAACAGAAGAACUGCGUCUCUGUCACUGAUGAAUUUGACUGAACUGUAUGAGAUUUCCAAUGGCUUCACUCGAAGGGAUUGGUAGGUGUAGGAUUUUGAGUUGAGCAUCACAUGGAAAUUUUUCCUUAGUAUUUCCUCGACCCCCUUUAACAGUACGGUGUUUCCUAUGACUCAAGAAAGAGAAAAUGAAACUACGAAAACAAAAGUCUUCACGCUUCAUAUUCCUCGAAUGAUUAUCAAGUCUUCAAGGUCACACCAAUUUCUUCACUUUCAAAGUCUUCAGAAAGUCUUCAAAAUGUCAAAGUCUUCAGUCGAAGAACUUCAUUUUUAGGGGUCGAUUUUCUUUGUAAAUAUCAAACUCCUCAUAGACUUAUAGACCUGUGUACACUCACAAACACAUCAGUUACUUAACCUAUAAGUCUUCAAUACACCAAAAUCACUAAGGGGCACUAGAUGCACUUACAUUCUU
RNAcentral lists this long non-coding RNA (14065 nucleotides) under Triticum aestivum (bread wheat). Its description in RNAcentral is "long non-coding RNA (TAES_LNC027130)". Lineage: Eukaryota; Viridiplantae; Streptophyta; Magnoliopsida; Poales; Poaceae. The record is from RNAcentral.